Long non-coding RNA from Daphnia pulex (common water flea), 1625 nucleotides. RefSeq lists it as uncharacterized. The transcript is spliced from 6 exons. The record is from RefSeq and is a predicted model, not a curated record. NCBI's taxonomy places the organism in Eukaryota, Metazoa, Arthropoda, Branchiopoda, Diplostraca, Daphniidae.
UAUAAUAACAAAUUGUAUUUGCAGAUGAGUAGAGCAAGGUGGAAACGGCAACAGCAAUCUUUCAACAAAUCUUAAUCCUUUCACACACUCCUCAGCUACAUUAUUAUUGGAUUAUUUUAUAUCAGUAUUAUGGCCUAUACCAAUUGAUCUUGUUAGAUUUUUAUGACUGCUAGUUCCAUGAUUCCUUUCUCCUUGAGAAGAAGACUGCCAAGAAGUGGGUAAAGAAUUUCCAAGGCUGUGUCAAUGGACCUGUUUCAAAAUGACUAUAACCCUAAUAGAUUUGCUGCCUUUUCCAAAGCAGAGUGUGGCAACCGUGAGUAAUAAGCUGCCAGCAAUGCGAACUCUUCCGCCAGAAAUUAUGGUAGGUGAGAGAGAGUUAGGUGCUGAAUUGUUCGAAUCUUUCGGGCUGAAAAUCAGAAAAAGGCACAUUUCUGCUAUUUAAAUCAAUGAAGCACUUCACAAAUGGCAAGCCGCAAGCCCGUAACAUCACGGCCAUCGGAUGAUCGGAUAUCCUUUUCUUAAAUUGGUCAGGUUAGGUGGAUUGGUCAUUGCUUCAUCUGUUACAGUGAUGGGAAACUCUGCAAUGGAUUUUUCCGUAUACUGAAAUUUAAAUGACUCUGUAAAGAAGAAAGGGAGCUUUCUGUUUCGCAGUCGUGAUUCAACAUUAGUUACAAACUCAAUUACGGUACAGAAGCAGUUAUUUUUUUUAUUUCUGUGGUGAAUCGAAACAAAGUGAACUCCAAGAUUCAAGAACCAAAGCGUCAAAAAGUGCAUUCGAAUGUGCUGGAAACUGGAGUUGAUUCAUGCCCUCCUCACCAUAUCGAUUACAAGUGUACUUUGGACGAAACAUUUUGUGUAUGGGGUGGUCAUGCGUCCGCUAAGGUCCAUUACAUUAUCGACGGAUAUUGUGAACAUCUCCAACCGACUAGCCAAAGUGUUUCUGUCUCAACAACUAAGUGACGUUCAAGUUCAAUGUGCGACAUCCUAUUGGUGGACAACGUUGCAGUUCUAUCUGCUGGCAGUGUUCUCUGUCACGUCUUCUUCUGAAUUCUUGGAGUCGCAAAAGAGGAUGGUGGCCGUCAACGACAUUGAAAUCGUCGAUAAUAAAAUGCAAGCCUCGAACCCUGUGCGGGUAAAUGGAUUUCCUUGCGUUAAUCGUGCGGAAGACAUUCUGUAGUGCUACUAGCAAGCUAAUAUAUUCUCAGUUACACUCGAUCCCGAAACUGUUUGAAGAUGCCGUGGAUUAUUUGGUGAAACAUUGCCGCAAGAUUUUUUAUCAGCCCGAAUAGCUAAAUUGGAUGAUUCCGAUUUGUGCAUUCUGGUUACCCAGCGUGUGUCUCCGGUCCUCGCAUCUGAUUCCAACAAGGGCUCAAACAUCGUGGUACACUUGGAUAAACAGCAAAGGAUUUUUUAUUCAAUUUGCAAAGGUCCACAUCCUUGUUCGAAAAUAACCAUCAGGUCAGUUUUAUAUGCCAUCUUUAUUCAAAUCCAUUUUCAGCUUUAUUCAAUUAGAAAGAAACAAUCUAAAUUCCGUUAGUCUGUGAGCAGUUCAAACAAAUAUUUCACAAUUGUUGUGUAGCUCAGAUUUUUCCUAUUUUCCCCUUCACAGCUCAUUGUUGUUUGCC